GCACUGGUAACUGUAGAGUCCCUGAUGAUCAGAAUGGUCUCCGAAGCCGAGGGUCGCAGGUUCGAAUCCUGCCGGGCGCGCCA
This 83-nucleotide transfer RNA is filed under the name Halomonas korlensis. RNAcentral describes it as "tRNA_Pseudo_CCG". Lineage: Bacteria; Pseudomonadati; Pseudomonadota; Gammaproteobacteria; Oceanospirillales; Halomonadaceae. The record is from RNAcentral.